GGUUAGAGCGCGCGCUUGAUAAGCGUGAGGUCGGAAGUUCAAGUCUUCCCAGGCCCACCACACUCAUCGAGUGAGCAUUCGUCUUCUGGUUACGGGGCCAUAGCUCAGCUGGGAGAGCGCGUGCUUUGCAAGCAUGAGGUCGUCGGUUCGAUCCCGUCUGGCUCCACCAGAUGGUUUGAUCACCGACUACUCGUACCGUCGUCCGCGAAACAUCACUUCGCAUUACUAGUCCGGAUGGACAGUAAGCUGCGUGAUUUCUGACAUCGUAAAGAGGAGAUCGAUCCGAGUUGGAUCGGGCAACAAGUAAUUGUUGCGCGAUACUUCAUUAUCUCCGGAUCAUUUCGGCGCUCGUACGUCUUCCAGGGUAGCUCACAAGGCUGCGUCUGAAGGACACGCGAGUUGUAAAUGAUCCUUUUAGCGAAGCUUGACCGCCUCGCUAUCGGAACGAUCUUACGAAGCAAGCUGGUCUUUCUAAUCAUUGUCCGGCUGCAGAUAGCGUUCAUCGAGGGCGCGUGCCUUAGAGACUUAGGUUUCUGGGCAAUUCUGCAGACAACAUUCUGCCGAGUGUGUGGACAUUGAUAAUGAGAGCAAUCAAGUGCCUUAAGGGUGUUCGGUGGAUGCCUUGGCGCUGAGAGGCGAUGAAGGACGUGCUACGCUGCGAUAAGCCGUGGGGAGCUGCGAAGAAGCUUUGAUCCAUGGAUUUCC
Molecule: unclassified non-coding RNA, 705 nt
Filed under: Bradyrhizobium sp.
Lineage: Bacteria; Pseudomonadati; Pseudomonadota; Alphaproteobacteria; Hyphomicrobiales; Nitrobacteraceae
Description: partial 16S-23S ribosomal RNA intergenic spacer region
Rfam family: Bacterial large subunit ribosomal RNA (bases 590-705)
Source: RNAcentral